Molecule: ribosomal RNA, 561 nt
Filed under: Triticum aestivum (bread wheat)
Lineage: Eukaryota; Viridiplantae; Streptophyta; Magnoliopsida; Poales; Poaceae
Description: partial small subunit ribosomal RNA
Source: RNAcentral
AUGCGUGAUCAGGUCGGCAUCGACCUGGACGGCUUCCCCCUCGACCACGAGUUCCCGGACGACUACGGGCUAGAGGAAGAGGACGAGUGCGACAUCAAAGUGGAGCCUUUGUUCGAGGACGAGUGCGACAUCAAAGUGGAGCCUUUGUUCGAGGACGAGCUCGCCAACCAAGCCGCCGGUCCUAAGCCGAAGCGCAAGAGCAAGCGCACGAAGGCGUACACGGCGGCCGAGGACAAGCUUCUUUGCGAGUGUUGGCGAGACAUUGGACAAGACCCCAAGACGGGCACCGAGCAAAAGCAUUCAACCUUUUGGAUUCGUAUCCACCGAGAGUUUCAUGAGCGCAAAACUGGACGGACACCCAGUAAUCCUUCUAACCCAUGCGUCUACUCCAGUUGUGGGAGAUCCAUGCCCAGCACUGCGUCCGAAUCAGUCAACCUUUUUUUUCUCGAAUAUGCACGAGUGUGCAUAUUAUAUAUUAAAGAAGAAAGGCAAAACAGUGCCUCCACCAAGUUUUACAUAAGUUCCUUACACUUACUCCUCACUACUCGUCCACCUAUGUAA